RNAcentral lists this ribosomal RNA (495 nucleotides) under uncultured bacterium. RNAcentral's name for it is "partial 16S ribosomal RNA". It matches the Rfam family "Bacterial small subunit ribosomal RNA", at positions 28 to 507 of the family's 1533-position model. The record is from RNAcentral.
GAUGAACGCUGGCGGCGUGCUUAACACAUGCAAGUCGAACGAAGCAACUCUCCCGAUGAUUGACACAGCUUGCUGUAGAUGGAUUCAUUUGAGGUGACGGAGUGGCGGACGGGUGAGUAACGCGUGGGUAACCUGCCCCAGAGAGGGGGACAACAGUUGGAAACGACUGCUAUUACCGCAUAGUAUGAAGAAUUCGCAUGUUUUCUUCUUGAAAGAUUUGUCUCUAUGAGAUGGACCCGCGUCUGAUUAGCUAGGUGGUAAGGUAACGUCUUAGCAAGGCGUCAAUCGCUAGACGGGUUGUGAGAGUGACCCGCCACUUCGGGACUGGGACGCAGCGCGGAAUACUACGGAAGGCAGCAGUGGCGGAUAUUGCAAUAUGGCGGAAACGAAGAUGCAGCGACGCUUGGUGAGUUAAGAAGUAUUUCAGUAUGUAAAGCACUUUCAGCAGGGAAGGUAAUGACGGUAACUAAAUAAGAAGCACCGGCUAACUACGUG